UAACACGUGGGUGAUCUGCCCUGCACUUCGGGAUAAGCUUGGGAAACUGGGUCUAAUACCGGAUAGGACCAUGGUUUAGUGUCUCAUGGUGGAAAGAUUAUUGUUUUGGUGCAGGAUGAGCUCGCGGCCUAUCAGCUUGUUGGUGGGGUAAUGGCCUACCAAGGCGUCGACGGGUAGCCGGCCUGAGAGGGUGGACGGCCACAUUGGGACUGAGAUACGGCCCAGACUCCUACGGGAGGCAGCAGUGGGGAAUAUUGCACAAUGGGCGCAAGCCUGAUGCAGCGACGCCGCGUGGGGGAUGACGGCCUUCGGGUUGUAAACUCCUUUCGUUAGGGACGAAGCCACAUUUUUUUGGGUGUGGUGACGGUACCUUUGUUAAGAAGCACCGGCUAACUACGUGCCAGCAGCCGCGGUAAUACGUAGGGUGCGAGCGUUGUCCGGAAUUACUGGGCGUAAAGAGCUCGUAGGUGGUUUGUUGCGUCGUCUGUGAAAUUCCGGGGCUUAACUUCGGGGUGGCAGGCGAUACGGGCAUAACUAGAGUGCUGUAGGGGAGACUGGAAUUCCUGGUGUAGCGGUGGAAUGCGCAGAUAUCAGGAGGAACACCGAUGGCGAAGGCAGGUCUCUGGGCAGUAACUGACGCUGAGGAGCGAAAGCAUGGGGAGCGAACAGGAUUAGAUACCCUGGUAGUCCAUGCUGUAAACGGUGGGCGUUAGGUGUGGGGACCGGUUUGGUUUCUGUGCCGUAGCUAACGCAUUAAGCGCCCCGCCUGGGGAGUACGGCCGCAAGGCUAAAACUCAAAGGAAUUGACGG
RNAcentral lists this ribosomal RNA (810 nucleotides) under uncultured Corynebacterium sp. Its description in RNAcentral is "bacterial SSU rRNA". It matches the Rfam family "Bacterial small subunit ribosomal RNA", at positions 111 to 916 of the family's 1533-position model. Lineage: Bacteria; Bacillati; Actinomycetota; Actinomycetes; Mycobacteriales; Corynebacteriaceae. The record is from RNAcentral.